RNAcentral lists this ribosomal RNA (273 nucleotides) under Escherichia coli. Its description in RNAcentral is "partial 23S ribosomal RNA". It matches the Rfam family "Bacterial large subunit ribosomal RNA", at positions 1293 to 1569 of the family's 2925-position model. The record is from RNAcentral. Lineage: Bacteria; Pseudomonadati; Pseudomonadota; Gammaproteobacteria; Enterobacterales; Enterobacteriaceae.
AAUGCUGACAUAAGUAACGAUAAAGCGGGUGAAAAGCCCGCUCGCCGGAAGACCAAGGGUUCCUGUCCAACGUUAAUCGGGGCAGGGUGAGUCGACCCCUAAGGCGAGGCCGAAAGGCGUAGUCGAUGGGAAACAGGUUAAUAUUCCUGUACUUGGUGUUACUGCGAAGGGGGGACGGAGAAGGCUAUGUUGGCCGGGCGACGGUUGUCCCGGUUUAAGCGUGUAGGCUGGUUUUCCAGGCAAAUCCGGAAAACCAAGGCUGAGGCGUGAUGA